RNAcentral lists this long non-coding RNA (430 nucleotides) under Salvator merianae (Argentine black and white tegu). RNAcentral describes it as "lncRNA (ENSSMRG00000011164.1)". The record is from RNAcentral. Lineage: Eukaryota; Metazoa; Chordata; Lepidosauria; Squamata; Teiidae.
GGGAUUUGCAGUGGAGUGUGAAUGAAUGUUUUGGCUGACUGGCAACAAAGUGACUGAAAAAUGAAAGAGAUACCAUUCCUCUUCAGACCAAUAUCUCUAGAAGAUGUCACUCCUCCAUGUGAAGAAUUGUGGACAAUUGUAUAUGAGUCUUCUUGCUGCCAAGAGCAGGACCCCAACAUGAGAACACAAGAAAAAGGGACAACAACAUUGAUAAAAUCCACAAAUAACUCAUUGCAUUAAAAAAGCUGUAUGUUUUAUCAGUGGUUUGAGACUAAAAGCUUGCCUUUAUUUUUACUUUUCAUAAUGGUGCAAGAGGCAUUACUUAUGGCUAAUGUGUUACUCAGCGAAACAAGCGUCAGUAUUUAAUAUGGUUUGCUAAAUAUUAAAUAUUGAUUAUCUUCUACUUUUAAUAAAAAAGCAAUGUAAUAAG